Molecule: ribosomal RNA, 468 nt
Filed under: uncultured bacterium
Lineage: Bacteria
Description: partial 16S ribosomal RNA
Rfam family: Bacterial small subunit ribosomal RNA
Source: RNAcentral
GACGAACGCUGGCGGCGUGCUUAACACAUGCAAGUCGAACGGAAAGGCCCUGCUUUUGUGGGGUGCUCGAGUGGCGAACGGGUGAGUAACACGUGAGUAACCUGCCCUUGACUUUGGGACAACUUCAGGAAACUGGUGCUAAUACCGGAGAGGAGCUCCUGCAGCAGGGUGGGGGUUGGAACGUUUCGGCGGUUGGGGAUGGACUGGCGGCUUAUCAGCUUGUUGGGGGGGGAGCGGCUUACCCAGGCUUUGGCGGCUGGGCGGCCUGAGAGGGUAACCGGCCACCAUGGGCCUGAGGUAGGGCCCAGACUCGUACGGGGGGCAGCAGUGGGGAAUAUUGCACAAUGGGCGGAAGCCUGAUGCAGAAACGCCGGGUGCGGGAUGACGGCCUUCGGGUUGUAAACCGCAUUCGCCUGUGACGAAGCGUGAGUGACGGUAAUGGGUGAAGAAGCACCGGCUAACUACGUG